AUACCUUUCUCGGCCUUUUGGCUAAGAUCAAGUAUAGUGUUUGUUCUUAUCAGUUUAAUAUAUGAUAUGUGAGUUAUCGACUCACACGAUAUUAACUUAAUUUUUUUAGGGAGAGAGUCUACCACAGUAGCUUGCUAUUGGGGCUCUCAAGUGUUAUCUUGGCGUUGCACUAUUGCCUUGGCCUGACACACCUUGC
Molecule: small nuclear RNA, 196 nt
Filed under: Nicotiana attenuata
Lineage: Eukaryota; Viridiplantae; Streptophyta; Magnoliopsida; Solanales; Solanaceae
Description: snRNA U2
Rfam family: U2 spliceosomal RNA
About the family: U2 is a small nuclear RNA (snRNA) component of the spliceosome (involved in pre-mRNA splicing). Complementary binding between U2 snRNA (in an area lying towards the 5' end but 3' to hairpin I) and the branchpoint sequence (BPS) of the intron results the bulging out of an unpaired adenosine, on the BPS, which initiates a nucleophilic attack at the intronic 5' splice site, thus starting the first of two transesterification reactions that mediate splicing.
Source: Rfam by way of RNAcentral